RNAcentral lists this ribosomal RNA (442 nucleotides) under Streptococcus gordonii. Its description in RNAcentral is "bacterial SSU rRNA". It matches the Rfam family "Bacterial small subunit ribosomal RNA", at positions 28 to 452 of the family's 1533-position model. Lineage: Bacteria; Bacillati; Bacillota; Bacilli; Lactobacillales; Streptococcaceae. The record is from RNAcentral.
GACGAACGCUGGCGGCGUGCCUAAUACAUGCAAGUAGAACGCACAGUUUAUACCGUAGCUUGCUACACCAUAGACUGUGAGUUGCGAACGGGUGAGUAACGCGUAGGUAACCUGCCUGGUAGCGGGGGAUAACUAUUGGAAACGAUAGCUAAUACCGCAUAAUAUUAAUUAUUGCAUGAUAAUUAAUUGAAAGGUGCAAUUGCACCACUACCAGAUGGACCUGCGUUGUAUUAGCUAGUAGGUGAGGUAACGGCUCACCUAGGCGACGAUACAUAGCCGACCUGAGAGGGUGAUCGGCCACACUGGGACUGAGACACGGCCCAGACUCCUACGGGAGGCAGCAGUAGGGAAUCUUCGGCAAUGGACGAAAGUCUGACCGAGCAACGCCGCGUGAGUGAAGAAGGUUUUCGGAUCGUAAGGCUCUGUUGUAAGAGAAGAACGG